GACGAACGCUGGCGGCGUGCUUAACACAUGCAAGUCGAACGCUGAAGCACCAGCUUGCUGGUGUGGAUGAGUGGCGAACGGGUGAGUAAUACGUGAGUAACCUGCCCUUGACUCUGGGAUAAGCCCGGGAAACUGGGUCUAAUACUGGAUGCUACAUGUCACCGCAUGGUGGUGUGUGGAAAGGGUUUACUGGUCUUGGAUGGGCUCACGGCCUAUCAGCUUGUUGGUGAGGUAAUGGCUCACCAAGGCGACGACGGGUAGCCGGCCUGAGAGGGUGACCGGCCACACUGGGACUGAGACACGGCCCAGACUCCUACGGGAGGCAGCAGUGGGGAAUAUUGCACAAUGGGCGAAAGCCUGAUGCAGCGGCGCCGCGGGAGGGAUGACGGCCUUCGGGUUGUAAACCUCUUUCAGCAGGGAAGAAGCCACAAGUGACGGUACCUGCAGAAGAAGCGCCGGCUAACUACGUG
RNAcentral lists this ribosomal RNA (470 nucleotides) under uncultured bacterium. RNAcentral describes it as "partial 16S ribosomal RNA". It matches the Rfam family "Bacterial small subunit ribosomal RNA", at positions 28 to 507 of the family's 1533-position model. The record is from RNAcentral.